This is a long non-coding RNA of Oreochromis aureus, 5414 nucleotides long. The record is from Ensembl. Lineage: Eukaryota; Metazoa; Chordata; Actinopteri; Cichliformes; Cichlidae.
GUGACCUCCUUUUUGGUCACCUGACUUCCUGUUGGUGUUGCUGAGCUUAGUUGCGGGUUACUUUUCCGAAGCCUCCAUCGCAGCUGGUCGUAGCUGUAGAAGCCUCCUCUGAGCCAUUCUGCUUACGUUUUAUGACACGGCUUACUUGGUAUGUAAUCAACUUCUGUUACGCUCUCUGCCUUCUGUUGUUCUUUUAUAGUAAUUAUUUAUUAUGCUUUGCAGGAAGUGUGGGCCUGAGUUUUGCGCCAAGCUACGUGAACUGAAGUGCUGCUGCUUUGCUUUGCUUUGCUGUGAUGCUUUGCUUUGUUUUACUUUAUUUUUACUGUCUGUUCCGGCUGCGAAGUUUCUUUGCUGCUGCCAGCCUUUAAAGUGGACGUCGGCGUGAACAACGGCCAUAUGCAUGCCACGCGGGUCGGCUGGCGCGCAUACUGAUUGACUGACUGGAUAAUUAACUUAUAGCCGUGCAGACGGCAAGUUGGAGCAAUACGGCGAUUCCGUUUGCUCCAUAUUUUAGAGUUUUACCCAGAUUGUAUGUUGUUUUACUGUUGUUUGAUUUGUAGUUUGGAUUUUUGUUACGCCACUGGUGGGAGGCCCUUUUUCUAGCUGUAGAUCACCAGUGUGGUCCUGCAGUUGGGUUAUCCCCCAGCGCUGCAUAUUAGUUUUGUUGUAAUAUAUUAAAUUUUCUUUGUUUCUUUUAUUCAGAUGCGGAGUGCCGACGUGGAGGAGACCAGGGUGCCUUGGUGGUGGGAUCCUCUGAGUGUACACACCUGCCUUGUUUAAUUUAUAGUGUGAGUGUGUGAUAGUGUGCUGCACUUGUGUCUUGGUGUAUUUUCUUCUUUUUUUGAGUUUGUGUGUGGCAUCCCUGCCCUCCACUGGUAAGCCUCAGCUCUGAAUACCUUUUUUAGCAUACUUAUACACUGAUAUUUAUGACUGUGCUUUUAAACGUUGUUUUAAUUAAUAAAUUGUCAAUUUAUUUUAUCAUCGAACCUCGUCUCUGUAUUGAGUAUAACAAACCUGACUGCCUUUUUGGUUAUUUAGUGUUACUUCCAGUAUUCUCUGGGUGAAAUUCCCAGGGUGGCGUUGUCUUUUUUUUUAAAACUGAAGAGUAUUUACUUUAUUUCCACCUCGUGCUGCCACAAACUUGGCGUUGUCGACAGGAUAUACUCUUUAAAAACAGAGACGUGUGUUCCUUUUUAAUUUUUUUAUUAUCUGGUGUAACGUAAACUGUUUUUUAAAUUUUAUUUUGUACAGGAUAAAAGCAAAGCAGCAGCUACUUUGGUGUGGGAUUCCACAGCUGUGUUACAGAGAUGGAGGAAGAGUUACAGGAACUCAGGGACUUGAUCGUGCAGCUGAAAGCAGACAAUGAGAGGCUGCGUCAGGAGAGGGCUGUUGGGUCAGGCCGCACAAGGGCUCCUUGCUGAGGUGUACCUGCCACGGCUAUCAAUAGAGUGAGUCGUCAUGGGCUAGCUAAUGCAGCCCACUCCCACUGAGGUAAUCCUUCAGAGGCAUCCCACGGCCUGAGAGAAAUGUCAGAGCGCUGCUGUGAGGAUCAGUCUGAACUUGCAUACAGAGAUAGAGAUAUAUCUUAUUUAAGCCUGAUUUAAUUUGGGCUGCUUGGCAAUGGUGAGGGAAAGUGUUGUGUGCAGAACAGAGGGUGGGAGCUGGGGAUGCGAAAAGUCUGUCUUUAUUUAGAGAAACUGGCUUUGGUACAACACAGGCCAGAUGCACGGCAAAGUGAACUGACAGAUGUAGUGGUCACAGAUAUUUCUCUGCUCAGAUUACCACCUGUACUAGUUCGACCAUAUGAAUAUUUAGUGAAUGCUGAAGUGCCUUCUUUAGUACGCCUUCCACAAACAACUGUAUUCUGCCACACUGGAUUUCUGGCACAAUUUGAAAGCGUAACAUUGAUAAUUCAUUUCUCAUACAGAGAGGGAGAAGCUCAAAACUUAUUAAUAAAACUUUGUGAAACAUGUGGUUUCACAGUUGUGUUCGGCUCCCUGCUGGGACCACUCAGAGAGGUUCCACUGGAUACCGUGGGUUUAUCUAAAGUCUUCUAACAAGUGCUACAAAUGGCUAACAAAGGUUACUGAUAACACUAAUCAGAACAAAUUCUUCUCAUUUAUUUCUUUGUUUCUUAUAUUUUAAUUGAUUUGCAAUCAAUCUGGAAAUUAAAUUGAUGAUUAAAUUAAACUUAAACUUGUGGUAGUUAAUUUGUGAGCUCACUCUAAAUCUCCUUGGUCAUGAAUUCAAGAAAGCACACAAAUCGGUGACCAUCUGCCAAAACCUGACAUGCUUCUGUAUCAAUAAGAGAAUCAAAAAGGAAUCAAAUUGAUAAGUGAUAUCGAUAAUGUAAACGGAAUCACUAAAUUCUUAUCGAUUCCCAUCUGUAGAUGUAAUCAACUCAAAGUUGAAUUGACUCCUAGCUGAAACCGUCUGGAUGCAAGUCACCUUGGACCAUUGUUUUAUACUAUCUUUAAAAAUGGCAUGCUACUCAUCAUUAAUAAGGCUACUAUUUCUAUGUAUGCAGAUGAUUCAGUAAUAUGUAUGGCAGCUAAUAAUGAAAAGAGUUAAAUGUAGCUCUAUAUUCUGAGUUACAAUCAGUAUAAAUGUAUAAAGAACAAUAAAUUAAUUUCUAAUGUGUCUCAGACAAAUAGCAUGACAUUUGGUUCUAACCAGGCUAUUAGAAAAAAUCUGAUUUGUAAGGUUUCCACUAAUGUGCCUGUUGAUCAAGUCCAUGAGACCAAGUUUCCAGGUGUAAUUUUAGAGAGUAAACUAUCCUGGACAGAACAUACUAAUGAAAUUGUUGUUAAAAGUUGUUAAAACAUGAAAUGGUAUCUCUGUAGGUAAAAGAUAUGCAAAUGUUUUUGUCACCAAAAUUGAUCAAGCAGUUAAUCCAGGCAUUGCUCUUGUCUCAUCUUAAUUAUUGUCCAGUGGUACAAUGGACCAGAUUAAGAAACUAACAAAUCUUGUAACAAUGCAUUCAUGUCUUAACUGGUUAACAGCAAAACAUUCAUGACUUUACCCUUUACUUGUAUUUUUCAGAAAUAUUAUUGUUACAAAGAUUUGAAUUAUUUUUUUAUAAAACUAGUAUUUCAGUGUAGCUGGACAUUAAUAUUCUAACAGACAGGGAAUAAUUUAUAUUAUCCUCCUUAGCAAGAAGCAGUUUAGUUAAAAGAGCAGUUUUAUACAUUGGUUUGAAGGAAUGUAAAUUUUAUGUAAAUGUUUUGUUAUCAAUGAGCAUAAGCCUGAUAUGGGGCAAAAUUUGUGUUGCAAGAAGCUGUUUUUGUUGCCUGCAUGUGUGUUAUUGUGUGAUGAUGUUGUGUGUGUUUUAUAGUGCACUGUCACGUUUUAAAGAUUUGUGACCCCAGGAAGAAUAGCUGUUGCAUUACUGCAUAUUUGGGCUACAUGCUCAAUAUCCAGUUGAAUCUGAGAACAAAAAUGCUUAAAAGUUUGCUGAGUUUGCCCACAAAAAAGGGUUUGAAGCUUUUUCUCCUGGAUGUUUGUACUUCUACCACCAUCUUUACUGUUGCAAAAUGUUCCCAACUGUUUAAAUAUUUCCAUCUGGACCGCACAACAUCAUAAUGUCCGUUAAACACGCAACACGAAAUAUUGACUGAUAACAAGCUUAACAUAAACCAAUAUUCCUUCUGAAUGGAAUAUUUAAUUUGGAAUAUUUCUUGGCUUCUUUUUGAUGAAAUUUUGCCUCUCAGUUCCCGUACCAUUGGGCACCGUGGCAAUCAUUAAAUAUGCAUUACUAAUAUUGAAAAUAGCCGUCUGUUGUAUGUGAUGCAAGCAGUUUUUGGAGCAGAAUUGGGAGGUGUUGUUCUGUUUCUGAAGUUUUCCAGCUCACUUCUCUAAUCCAUACUGACAGAGGAAGCUCUACAGGAAGGCAGUACAACAGGGGCUCAGCUUCCACUAGUCUGUACUCUGCUGGGAGAGCAAGGUUCUUCCUUCAUACGUGGGAUGUAUUUUAGCAUGCCUAAAUAAAGAACAGUUCUUUCUUGCUGAAUGAAUAAAUCAAUGAAAUUAAUUCUGCUUUCAGUAGAAACACUUCCCUCAGUGAUAUCAAGGUCCUUGAGCCUUGCUUUGAUUAUUUCCAUCCAUUUUGGAUGCUAUAUUUUUUUUACGUCCUUGAUAAUGUAGUGUUAACGCUCCAAGGCCACAAAUAGCUUGAUCCAUCUAGGUCCCCUGUCCUCUUAAUGAAAGUGCAAAGACACUCGCCCUCUAUACUGAUGCCUCUUCCUGGCAGAUGGCUUGAUAGGCUCGCGCACAAGUCUGCCAAGAUGAAACGAUGCCUCAAUGCAAACAAUACUCACAAUAAGCCCUUUAAUAGCAUUUUCCCCCACUGCCAUAGUAACAGUCCUGUGUAAUAACUACUGAUACAGUAGAGUGAGCAGGAGGAGAUGAAGAAAUUUUCAGCAAAACAAAGAGACCCUGUCGGCUGAUGCAGUCAUCUGCAGGAGAGAGGAUGGGUCAAUAACAGACGCAGGGAUGAAUUGUUGGCCCUGUUGAGUGGAUCUGAGAUAGGGAUGUGCGUUCUCUGUGAAGGAAACAUAUUCCAGGGCAUAUCCAACAAAAAAUACUAUCUGCUUCACACAGAGAGUAUUGUUUUGGCGAUGAAAAGAAUCCAGCUGGCAAGCUCUGCCACGUUUCUCUCCUUGGAAGGAAUCGCAGUUAACAAUUUGGAGCAAGCAGCGCCUUGACUAAACAGAUAAUCAUAUUAUUGUAUUGCAUCUCCAUACAUUACGCACGCCUGCCGUAGACUGCAAGCGUGUGUAAUGUAUGUACAGCUCAGUAAAUAGAUCAAUCAGCGCACACAUCCACGGCCGCGCAGCAGGAAUGGAAAAAAAACACAACAACCUCUCCCCGUUUUUCUCACCUCACACACACUCUGGGAUAUUUGCAGUACUUUCAGACCUGUUGUCUGGGAGACCACUCCUUGUUUAGAUGUGUUGUCAAGGAAACAAAGAUGGAAAAAAAAUCUGCUCGUUGAAAUUUUUAGAGAAUCCAUCUGCUAGGUUGGAACAAGGAAAAAGUAACGCUCAGCCUAGUUGGACGAAUGCUUCCAAUAAAACAUAUCUUCCAAAGGGAAAGAGGUUUUAUUGAUUCUGCUACACUGUUAUUAAUAUAAAAAUGGAGCCGGCUUGUUGUAAAUAAGCCAGGUGGAUUCCUUUUUAUUGCAGUCCAGCGGAACCUUUUACCUAUUGAAUCGAAAAUUGCGUGGGACAAAAAUCUACCAUAUAAGUCAGGUAGCCCUCUGCAGUGUAAUUACUGCCGAGCCGGCCACCCGUCUCUGUAAUGCCGAAUAACAGGAUGUCCAAAUGCUCAUAAUCACCUAUGAUUACUGGUGAAAGGUUAAGCUGAUUCAAUCCCUCAGCCCAAUUUGCUACAAAAUCCAGGAAAAUACUACAAAG